This 525-nucleotide long non-coding RNA is filed under the name Salmo salar (Atlantic salmon). RNAcentral's name for it is "lncRNA (ENSSSAG00000087546.1)". The record is from RNAcentral. Lineage: Eukaryota; Metazoa; Chordata; Actinopteri; Salmoniformes; Salmonidae.
GCCAGAUCAGAUCAACGAUAGCAAACCCAGGAUAGUCAACCCAGGACAGCAGUUUCCUUUAGUAGCUGGCCCAUGAGACACCUCGCCUCUCUGCAAUAUGAAGUACCUGGUUCUGGGACUCGGCACACUGGCCUUGCUGGCAUCCACCAUGGCACAGAAUUCAACAAUAGGACCAACAACCAACCAACAGAAUCCUACAACAGGACCAACAACCAACAACAGAAUUCUGCAAUAGGCCAACAACCGCUGCCACAAACGCUACAACCGCCACAUGGUCAACGCCACCACAACCGCCACAUGGUCAACCACUCUCACCACACCAGCAGGGGGCAGCCAUGUCUUCAGUUACUCCCUGACUCUACUGUUUGGUUCGACAGUCAGCCUGAUCAUGCAUUCACUAUGGCAUUGAGCGCCACAUAGAGGGCAAAAGUCACAUUGACCGCACCUUCCUGAGAGUGUUAAAGGGUAACUUUGGGAUUUUGGCAACGAGGCCCGUUAUCUACUUUCCCAGAGUCAGAUGAUCUC